GUACAGUUUUUCGAUACUUGCACGGAUUCUACUAUUUCCCGGUACUCGCCCGGAUUCUUCCUUUUUACGGUACUCACAUUGAUUCAACCCUUUUCUCGUACUCGCCCUGACAGUUUUUCGAUACUCGCACGGAUUAUAUCUUUUCCCGGUACUCACCCGGAUUCUACCAUUUUUCGGUAGUCACACUAAUUUGACCUUUUUCCGGUAUUAGUCGGGACACUUUUUCGGUACUCACACUGAUUCGACCAUUUUCUGGAACUCGUCGGGACAGUUUUUCGACACUUGCACGGAUUCUACUAUUUCCCGGUACUCGCCCGGAUUCUUCCAUUUUUCGUUACUCACACUCAUUCAACCCUUUUCUCGUACUCGCCCGGACACUUUUUCGAUACUCGCACGGAUUCUACCUUUUCCCGGUACUCACCCGGAUUCUACCAUUUUUCGGUACUCACACUAAUUGGACCCUUUUCCAGAACUCGUCGGUAUAGUUUUUCGAUACUCGCACGGAUUCUACUAUUUCCCGGUACUCGCCCGGAUUCUUCCAUUUUUCGGUACUCAUAUUGAUUCAACCCUUUUCUCGUACUCGCCGGGACAGUUUUUCGAUACUCGCACGGAUUCUAUCUUUUCCCGGUACUCACCCGGAUUCUACCAUUUUUCGGUACUCACACUAAUUUGACCUUUUUCCGGUAUUAGUCGGGACACUUUUUCGGUACUCACACUGAUUCGACCAUUUUCUCGUACUCGUCGGGACACUUUUUCGACACUGGCACGGAUUCUACUAUUUCUCGGUACUCGCCCGGAUUCUUCCAUUUUUCGGUACUCACACU
RNAcentral lists this long non-coding RNA (824 nucleotides) under Vitis vinifera (wine grape). RNAcentral describes it as "long non-coding RNA (VVIN_LNC008014)". The record is from RNAcentral. Lineage: Eukaryota; Viridiplantae; Streptophyta; Magnoliopsida; Vitales; Vitaceae.